This 1120-nucleotide ribosomal RNA is filed under the name Brevibacterium iodinum. Its description in RNAcentral is "bacterial SSU rRNA". It matches the Rfam family "Bacterial small subunit ribosomal RNA", at positions 100 to 1234 of the family's 1533-position model. Lineage: Bacteria; Bacillati; Actinomycetota; Actinomycetes; Micrococcales; Brevibacteriaceae. The record is from RNAcentral.
GAACGGGUGAGUAACACGUGAGUAACCUGCCCCUGAUUUCGGGAUAAGCCUGGGAAACUGGGUCUAAUACCGGAUACGACCAAUCCUCGCAUGAGGGUUGGUGGAAAGUUUUUCGAUCGGGGAUGGGCUCGCGGCCUAUCAGCUUGUUGGUGGGGUAAUGGCCUACCAAGGCGACGACGGGUAGCCGGCCUGAGAGGGCGACCGGCCACACUGGGACUGAGACACGGCCCAGACUCCUACGGGAGGCAGCAGUGGGGAAUAUUGCACAAUGGGGGAAACCCUGAUGCAGCGACGCAGCGUGCGGGAUGACGGCCUUCGGGUUGUAAACCGCUUUCAGCAGGGAAGAAGCGAAAGUGACGGUACCUGCAGAAGAAGUACCGGCUAACUACGUGCCAGCAGCCGCGGUAAUACGUAGGGUACGAGCGUUGUCCGGAAUUAUUGGGCGUAAAGAGCUCGUAGGUGGUUGGUCACGUCUGCUGUGGAAACGCAACGCUUAACGUUGCGCGUGCAGUGGGUACGGGCUGACUAGAGUGCAGUAGGGGAGUCUGGAAUUCCUGGUGUAGCGGUGAAAUGCGCAGAUAUCAGGAGGAACACCGGUGGCGAAGGCGGGACUCUGGGCUGUAACUGACACUGAGGAGCGAAAGCAUGGGGAGCGAACAGGAUUAGAUACCCUGGUAGUCCAUGCCGUAAACGUUGGGCACUAGGUGUGGGGGACAUUCCACGUUCUCCGCGCCGUAGCUAACGCAUUAAGUGCCCCGCCUGGGGAGUACGGUCGCAAGGCUAAAACUCAAAGGAAUUGACGGGGGCCCGCACAAGCGGCGGAGCAUGCGGAUUAAUUCGAUGCAACGCGAAGAACCUUACCAAGGCUUGACAUACACUGGACCGUUCUGGAAACAGUUCUUCUCUUUGGAGCUGGUGUACAGGUGGUGCAUGGUUGUCGUCAGCUCGUGUCGUGAGAUGUUGGGUUAAGUCCCGCAACGAGCGCAACCCUCGUUCUAUGUUGCCAGCACGUGAUGGUGGGAACUCAUAGGAGACUGCCGGGGUCAACUCGGAGGAAGGUGGGGAUGACGUCAAAUCAUCAUGCCCUUUAUGUCUUGGGCUUCACGCAUGCUACAAUGGC